Molecule: ribosomal RNA, 548 nt
Filed under: uncultured bacterium
Lineage: Bacteria
Description: bacterial SSU rRNA
Rfam family: Archaeal small subunit ribosomal RNA
Source: RNAcentral
AGUGAAUAGAUACCCCGGUAGUCCUAGCCGUAAACGAUACUCGCUAGAUGUCGGCCACGGUGCGACCGUGGUCGGUGCCGUAGGGAAAGCCGUGAAGCGAGCCACCUGGGAAGUACGGCCGCAAGGCUGAAACUUAAAGGAAUUGGCGGGGGAGCACUACAACGGGUGGAGCCUGCGGUUUAAAUUGGAUUCAACGCCGGAAAUCUCACCGGGACCGACAGCGAUAUGAAGGCCAGGCUGAAGACCUUGCCGGAUUAGCUGAGAGGUGGUGCAUGGCCGUCGUCAGUUCGUACUGUGAAGCAUCCUGUUAAGUCAGGCAACGAGCGAGACCCACGCCCACAGUUGCCAGCGUACUCUCUGGAGUGACGGGUACACUGUGGGGACCGCCGCUGCUAAAGCGGAGGAAGGAAUGGGCAGCGGUAGGUCAGUAUGCCCCGAAUAUCCCGGGCUACACGCGGGCUACAAUGGUUGGUACAAUGGGUAUCUACCCCGAAAGGGAUGGAAAUCUCCUAAAGCCAAUCGUAGUUCGGAUCGAGGGCUGCAACUCG